Molecule: ribosomal RNA, 484 nt
Filed under: uncultured bacterium
Lineage: Bacteria
Description: partial 16S ribosomal RNA
Rfam family: Bacterial small subunit ribosomal RNA
Source: RNAcentral
GAUGAACGCCGGCGGCGUGCUUAACACAUGCAAGUCGAACGGUGAAGCAGGAGCUUGCUCUUGUGGAUCAGUGGCGAACGGGUGAGUAACACGUGAGCAACCUGCCCCUGACUCUGGGAUAAGCGCUGGAAACGGCGUCUAAUACUGGAUAUGUGAUGUGACCGCAUGGUCUGCAUCUGGAAAGAAUUUCGGUUGGGGAUGGGCUCGCGGCCUAUCAGCUUGUUGGUGAGGUAAUGGCUAACCAAGGCGUCGACGGGUAGCCGGCCUGAGAGGGGGGCCGGCCACACUGGGACUGAGACACGGCCCAGACUCCUACGGGAGGCAGCAGUGGGGAAUAUUGCGCAAUGGGCGGAAGCCUGAUGCAGCAACGCCGCGUGAGGGAUGACGGCCUUCGGGUUGUAAACCUCUUUUAGCAGGGAAGAAGCGAAAGUGACGGUACCUGCAGAAAAAGCACCGGCUAACUACGUGCCAGCAGCCGCCGUAA